AUGAACAGAACCUCAUCCAGGAAGUCCCCAACAUCUGGCAACGUGAAGUUGGCUAGGAGGAAGGAAGUGCCCCAAAGGGAACAAGAAGAAGAGGACCCUGCAUUGACGUUCCUCUGGGAAGCACUCAUUUCCUACCUUUCAUUUCUAAGACCGCAUGAUCUGGGACAUCCUUCCCUUCCUCGUCGGUUCGCUUUAUUGUUCGGUCUUUUAGGUCCUCGUCAGUGGGACAAAUUACAAUAGCUUUGCGCUGGAA
Gorilla gorilla gorilla (western lowland gorilla) is the source of this 253-nucleotide long non-coding RNA. RefSeq lists it as uncharacterized. The transcript has 2 exons. The record is from RefSeq and is a predicted model, not a curated record. Lineage: Eukaryota; Metazoa; Chordata; Mammalia; Primates; Hominidae.